ACAUGCAUACAACAUAGCAUUAAUGCACCAGAUCCCAUUAGAACUCCGCAAUUAAGUAUGAAAAUGCUAGAGUAGUACUAGGAUGGGUGACCACCCGGGGAGUCUUAGUCUUUUACAUGCC
Non-coding RNA from Picea glauca (white spruce), 121 nucleotides. The record is from Rfam. NCBI's taxonomy places the organism in Eukaryota, Viridiplantae, Streptophyta, Pinopsida, Pinales, Pinaceae.